GAUGAACGCUGGCGGCGUGCCUAAUACAUGCAAGUCGAGCGAACAGACGAGGAGCUUGCUCCUCUGACGUUAGCGGCGGACGGGUGAGUAACACGUGGAUAACCUACCUAUAAGACUGGGAUAACUUCGGGAAACCGGAGCUAAUACCGGAUAAUAUAUUGAACCGCAUGGUUCAAUAGUGAAAGACGGUUUUGCUGUCACUUAUAGAUGGAUCCGCGCCGCAUUAGCUAGUUGGUAAGGUAACAGCUUACCAAGGCAACGAUGCGUAGCCGACCUGAGAGGGUGAUCGGCCACACGGGAACUGAGACAAGGUCCAGACUCCUACGGGAGGCAGCAGUAGGGAAUCGUCCGCGAUGGGCGAAAGCCUGACGGAGCAACGCCGCGUGAGUGAUGAAGGUCUUCGGAUCGUAAAACUCUGUUAUUAGGGAAGAACAAAUGUGUAAGUAACUAUGCACGUCUUGACGGUACCUAAUCAGAAAGCCACGGCUAACUACGUG
This 497-nucleotide ribosomal RNA is filed under the name uncultured bacterium. RNAcentral describes it as "partial 16S ribosomal RNA". It matches the Rfam family "Bacterial small subunit ribosomal RNA", at positions 28 to 507 of the family's 1533-position model. The record is from RNAcentral.